GGAGCUCCUGGGGAGGAUCAUCAAGAGGCUUUGAGGAAGCCUUCAGAAAUGAAGCACCAGACAUGGAGAAGUGCAGCCAGAAUGACUGUGCAAGGCAACAAGCUCAAAGCUGGGCAUCCCUUUUGUAAAUCUUUCCACCCCAAAGGCAUCAUUUUGAGCAGUUACAUGUAUGAAGUGAGAAAAUUACAGAGAUCUAUGGAUCUACCUGCAUCCUGUCCUGGAUACUUCAAAAGCUGCAGUUAAAAGUAUAAACCAAACUUCCUCUGCACUUACAGCAGAACAUACUGGGGCAGUUGCACAACCACAGUUACAGGAGGAGGGAGAAGGUUUCUGUGGCUCUGCCAGUGGCUCAGCAGGAAUGGACUCAGCUGGAUAAUACCUUUGUCUUCUGUGGUGGUGAAUAUAAUAAAAUUGCACUGAAAGGGCAGAACUCCUGUAGCAGCAACAUUUGGGGGACAUUGGAACUGUGACAAACCCCACUCGCUCUGCUCUCCAACGUCAGCGAAGCAACAGUACCUAAAAUAAUAUUCUCUCAGAUGACUCCGGCUUCAAGGAAUGAAGGUAGGCUGCAC
Molecule: long non-coding RNA, 572 nt
Organism: Pipra filicauda (Wire-tailed manakin)
Lineage: Eukaryota; Metazoa; Chordata; Aves; Passeriformes; Pipridae
Exons: 5
Source: RefSeq, a predicted model, not a curated record